RNAcentral lists this transfer RNA (74 nucleotides) under Actinomycetota bacterium. Its description in RNAcentral is "tRNA-Val". It matches the Rfam family "tRNA". From Rfam's summary of the family: Transfer RNA (tRNA) molecules are approximately 80 nucleotides in length. Their secondary structure includes four short double-helical elements and three loops (D, anti-codon, and T loops). Lineage: Bacteria; Bacillati; Actinomycetota. The record is from RNAcentral.
GGGCGCUUAGCUCAGCCGGCAAGAGCGCCGCCUUUACACGGCGGAGGUCGGGGGUUCGAGCCCCUCAGCGCCCA